GACGAACGCUGGCGGCGUGCUUAACACAUGCAAGUCGAACGGAAAGGCCCUGCUUUUGUGGGGUUCUCGAGUGGCGAACGGGUGAGUAACACGUGAGUAACCUGCCCUUGACUUUGGGAUAACUUCAGGAAACUGGGGCUAAUACCGUAUAGGAGCUCCUGCUGCAUGGUGGGGGUUGGAAAGUUUCGGCGGUUGGGGAUGGACUCGCGGCUUAUCAGCUUGUUGGUGGGGUAGUGGCUUGCCCAGGCUUUGACGGGUAGCCGGCCUGAGAGGGUGACCGGGCACAUUGGGACUGAGAGAGGGACCAGACGGGAACGGGAGGCAACGGUCGGGAAUCUUGCACAAUGGGACGAAGUGUGAGGAGACAACGCUGCGUGCGUAAAGACGGUCUUUGGGUUAUGAAAAGCUUUCGCCUGAGACGAAGCGUGAGUGACGGUAAUGGGUAAAGAAGCACCGGCUAACUACGUG
RNAcentral lists this ribosomal RNA (468 nucleotides) under uncultured bacterium. Its description in RNAcentral is "partial 16S ribosomal RNA". It matches the Rfam family "Bacterial small subunit ribosomal RNA", at positions 28 to 507 of the family's 1533-position model. The record is from RNAcentral.